RNAcentral lists this transfer RNA (71 nucleotides) under Galerita orientalis. RNAcentral describes it as "tRNA-Met". It matches the Rfam family "tRNA". From Rfam's summary of the family: Transfer RNA (tRNA) molecules are approximately 80 nucleotides in length. Their secondary structure includes four short double-helical elements and three loops (D, anti-codon, and T loops). Further hydrogen bonds mediate the characteristic L-shaped molecular structure. tRNAs have two regions of fundamental functional importance: the anti-codon, which is responsible for specific mRNA codon recognition, and the 3' end, to which the tRNAs corresponding amino acid is attached (by aminoacyl-tRNA synthetases). tRNAs cope with the degeneracy of the genetic code in two manners: having more than one tRNA (with a specific anti-codon) for a particular amino acid; and 'wobble' base-pairing, i.e. permitting non-standard base-pairing at the 3rd anti-codon position. The record is from RNAcentral. Lineage: Eukaryota; Metazoa; Arthropoda; Insecta; Coleoptera; Carabidae.
UAAAAAGAUAAGCUAAUAAAGCUUUUAGGUUCAUACCCUAACUAUAAAGGUUUUAAUCCUUUUCUUUUUAA